This 465-nucleotide ribosomal RNA is filed under the name uncultured Klebsiella sp. RNAcentral describes it as "bacterial SSU rRNA". It matches the Rfam family "Bacterial small subunit ribosomal RNA", at positions 338 to 795 of the family's 1533-position model. The record is from RNAcentral. Lineage: Bacteria; Pseudomonadati; Pseudomonadota; Gammaproteobacteria; Enterobacterales; Enterobacteriaceae.
CCUACGGGGGGCUGCAGUGGGGAAUAUUGCACAAUGGGCGCAAGCCUGAUGCAGCCAUGCCGCGUGUGUGAAGAAGGCCUUCGGGUUGUAAAGCACUUUCAGCGGGGAGGAAGGCGGUGAGGUUAAUAACCUCAUCGAUUGACGUUACCCGCAGAAGAAGCACCGGCUAACUCCGUGCCAGCAGCCGCGGUAAUACGGAGGGUGCAAGCGUUAAUCGGAAUUACUGGGCGUAAAGCGCACGCAGGCGGUCUGUCAAGUCGGAUGUGAAAUCCCCGGGCUCAACCUGGGAACUGCAUUCGAAACUGGCAGGCUAGAGUCUUGUAGAGGGGGGUAGAAUUCCAGGUGUAGCGGUGAAAUGCGUAGAGAUCUGGAGGGAUACCGGUGGCGAAGGCGGCCCCCUGGACAAAGACUGACGCUCAGGUGCGAAAGCGUGGGGAGCAAACAGGAUUAGAUACCCGGGUAGUC